This is a long non-coding RNA of Oreochromis aureus, 1104 nucleotides long. Lineage: Eukaryota; Metazoa; Chordata; Actinopteri; Cichliformes; Cichlidae. The record is from Ensembl.
CUAAAAUGCACAGGAAGUACAAUCUAAGCUCUCCUACUGAAAAAGAACAAAAGCUACGUACCGUUAAGGUGAACAGCUGAAUUCAGAGCAGCCAAGAAGAGUUGGUGUCUUCAACUCAGCAGUUUGGAGUGUGGAUGAGAGAUAACUGAUGGAGUUGUGUGACUACCUCGAGGGGAGGAGUCACAGCACUGUGAGCAGAAAAAAAAUGUUAUAAAAUCAGCCGCAGCUACAAAUAUAUUUAAAACAUAAAAGUGCCGGCAAAAGUCUCCUGCAAUGUUAAAAAGCUCCUCUAAAAAUUUGAAUUGAUUAAUGUUAUUUACAUUUUAAGAAUACACACAUUUAUAGAACAUGUAUUAUUCACAUUAGUGCAUACAGCACACACAGCGUUGUGCUUCCCAGCUACCUGUUUUUGUUUUUUUUAAUCCUGACACUAUUUUUCUUUGAGAUAUUCAUAGAUGUACACAGUGCAAUAAGCAAAACGCCCCCUAACACACAUCAUUUAUUGUCUUAAAUGAAAAACAAAGAGUCCUUUUUACAUUUUUUAGAGAAGACAAGUAUAGUUUUACUUUAUUUAGAUAUUCAGUAUCUAAGACGUCUGAAAAAGAAAAAGGGCUCUCUAACCACACAACUGUCAAACUCUUAUCAAAGAGCUAUUUACAGUUGCGUCUGCACAUUUGAAAAAAAAAAAAAACACACAGCAGUACAUAAAAACAAAUAGAAGUGUUUAAUUUAGCCUGCUGAUGAAUGCAGUAUACCCUAGAGUGCAGACACGCAACUGACAAACUGACAAAUAACACCCUGAAUAACUCUCGACAUGUUUGAGACAAAAUAAACUUUGUGGAAGACAGUUCUGCACAAUCAUUAUGGAUUUAUUAAAAAAAAAAUGUUUACUUUCAGCAUGCCACCUUUAUCAUAUAAACGUCCUCGACGAGGGUGAGGACUAAAGGCCAGACAGCCACGUCCUUGUAAUUUAUCUCCUGUUGGUAUGAGGGAUCGCAAGGAGUAACAGCUGAGGGAAAUGGACUUGUACAUCUACACAAAAAGUACAAGAUUAGACUUCAUAGCAGGCGCCUUUCAAGACACUCAAGGACACCUUACAAGCAA